UUCGUGUGGAAGCGACAAAAAGAAUGGAAGCACUCUAUCUCUUGUGCUCAAUCCUCUCCACAUUUUUUACUUCUCUAGCUCUUUCCCUCCUCCUUUCCGCCCGCACGCUAUUCCACCGCUUCUAUUCGCCGCGCGCGUCUUCUUCAUCCUCCACUGCCGCCUCAGAUGCAGUUUUUCUCUACGAAGGCACCGUGUGGCACGAGCGCCGGUGCCCUGUCCGCCACUCUUUCAAGUAUCCCGUGCGCUACGCGCUCUUCGACCUUGACCAUGCCUUCCGCGCGCCGUCUGACCAUCUCUCCGCUGGAGAAGCUCGCCGAGUCGCUGAGACUAAUGGACCAGUUUUACUUUUAACAAUACCCCGUAGUGUGGGAUAUGAACAAAAUCCUUUGAGUUUGUACUACUGCUAUGAAGUGGAAGGCUCUACUCAGUGUUUGAAGAAAUGCAUUGCUGAGGUAACUAAUACACCAUGGGGCGAAAGAGUAUCGUUUGUUUUUAAUCCCAAGUCUGAUUUGGUGGCUAAACCAUUACAUGUCAGUCCUUUCAUGGAUAUGCUUGGGAAUUGGAACAUCAGGGCUAAUUCUCCUGGAGAGAAUUUAAAUGUAUCAAUUUCAGUUCAGCAUCCUCAGCUUGGUGACUAUUUUGUAGCUACCUUGCGAGCAAAAAGGGUCUCCUCAGUAACAGUGUCUGAUCAUGCCAUGUUCUUCUGGUUAAUGCCUCAUAAGGUUGCACUGUGGAUAUAUUGGCAUGCGUUUAAGCUAUGGUGGAAAAAUGUGUCAUUUAUCCAACAUCCCAGGUAUACUAAUCCAGAGUAUAGGAAAGAAGCUUUGAUACGUGAUCAGAAACUUCAAUGCUGUCCAGCUGUUAGAGGCAAUAAUGAUAAUUAUUUGCAAGUUGAAGGAAGUGAUCUCAGAUAUCAGGCUAACUGGAAUAUUAGGGAUCGUUGGUUUGUAUGGAGAGAUGCUAAAUGGCCUUGGUCUUGAAUAUUAUAGGCUUUCUCCUGUUAGCGUAAGCUCAUAAAUGAGUAGGAUUAACUAGAAGGAAGAAGCAUUGAGAGCCUAACUUAUGACUAGACCUUGCCUGUGGAUCUGCAUUAGUAUUUUUUCAAUCUGCAGGAUGCAGUGGGGCUGUGAAAUGUAGCUAUCUAUACCUUAUUUGUUCAGACUGAGUAAAAUGUGAUGGGUAAUACUGACUUGCUGAAUUUAGGUAAAGACAUCAGAAAAAGGUUGACCUUGCCUUGAUCUAAGGCUGUCACAUGGGGUAACGUUACCCCCUCACAUCAUGGAAGAUUCCUACUGCUAUUUAAAGAGAGCAUGCUCUUGGUGAAGUUUCCCAUCAUAUGCCAAUGAAUCUUGUUUUCUCAAUUCCUGGACCUUCUGCACAUAUCUCUUAAACUUUUGUUUUAACAUUUAUCAAAGGUGUUAAACUGUAACUAAAUAGUAGUAAACUUCACUAAUUAUCAACCUUGCAUA
This is an RNA transcript of Mangifera indica (mango), 1469 nucleotides long. RefSeq lists it as uncharacterized. NCBI's taxonomy places the organism in Eukaryota, Viridiplantae, Streptophyta, Magnoliopsida, Sapindales, Anacardiaceae. The record is from RefSeq and is a predicted model, not a curated record. The transcript is spliced from 7 exons.